RNAcentral lists this ribosomal RNA (2932 nucleotides) under Bacillus velezensis. Its description in RNAcentral is "bacterial LSU rRNA". It matches the Rfam family "Bacterial large subunit ribosomal RNA". Lineage: Bacteria; Bacillati; Bacillota; Bacilli; Caryophanales; Bacillaceae. The record is from RNAcentral.
CGGUUAAGUUAGAAAGGGCGCACGGUGGAUGCCUUGGCACUAGGAGCCGAUGAAGGACGGGACGAACACCGAUAUGCUUCGGGGAGCUGUAAGCAAGCUUUGAUCCGGAGAUUUCCGAAUGGGGAAACCCACCACUCGUAAUGGAGUGGUAUCCAUAUCUGAAUACAUAGGAUAUGAGAAGGCAGACCCGGGGAACUGAAACAUCUAAGUACCCGGAGGAAGAGAAAGCAAAUGCGAUUCCCUGAGUAGCGGCGAGCGAAACGGGACCAGCCCAAACCAAGAGGCUUGCCUCUUGGGGUUGUAGGACACUCUGUACGGAGUUACAAAGGAACGAGGUAGAUGAAGAGGUCUGGAAAGGCCCGCCAUAGGAGGUAACAGCCCUGUAGUCAAAACUUCGUUCUCUCCUGAGUGGAUCCUGAGUACGGCGGAACACGUGAAAUUCCGUCGGAAUCCGGGAGGACCAUCUCCCAAGGCUAAAUACUCCCUAGUGACCGAUAGUGAACCAGUACCGUGAGGGAAAGGUGAAAAGCACCCCGGAAGGGGAGUGAAAGAGAUCCUGAAACCGUGUGCCUACAAGUAGUCAGAGCCCGUUAACGGGUGAUGGCGUGCCUUUUGUAGAAUGAACCGGCGAGUUACGAUCCCGUGCAAGGUUAAGCAGAAGAUGCGGAGCCGCAGCGAAAGCGAGUCUGAAUAGGGCGAAUUGAGUACGUGGUCGUAGACCCGAAACCAGGUGAUCUACCCAUGUCCAGGGUGAAGUUCAGGUAACACUGAAUGGAGGCCCGAACCCACGCACGUUGAAAAGUGCGGGGAUGAGGUGUGGGUAGGGGUGAAAUGCCAAUCGAACCUGGAGAUAGCUGGUUCUCUCCGAAAUAGCUUUAGGGCUAGCCUCAAGGUAAGAGUCUCGGAGGUAGAGCACUGAUUGGACUAGGGGCCCUACCGGGUUACCGAAUUCAGUCAAACUCCGAAUGCCGAUGACUUAUCCUUGGGAGUCAGACUGCGAGUGAUAAGAUCCGUAGUCGAAAGGGAAACAGCCCAGACCGCCAGCUAAGGUCCCAAAGUAUACGUUAAGUGGAAAAGGAUGUGGAGUUGCUUAGACAACCAGGAUGUUGGCUUAGAAGCAGCCACCAUUUAAAGAGUGCGUAAUAGCUCACUGGUCGAGUGACUCUGCGCCGAAAAUGUACCGGGGCUAAACGUAUCACCGAAGCUGCGGACUGUUCUUCGAACAGUGGUAGGAGAGCGUUCUAAGGGCUGUGAAGCAAGACCGGAAGGACUUGUGGAGCGCUUAGAAGUGAGAAUGCCGGUAUGAGUAGCGAAAGAGGGGUGAGAAUCCCCUCCACCGAAUGCCUAAGGUUUCCUGAGGAAGGCUCGUCCGCUCAGGGUUAGUCGGGACCUAAGCCGAGGCCGAAAGGCGUAGGCGAUGGAUAACAGGUUGAUAUUCCUGUACCACCUCCUCACCAUUUGAGCAAUGGGGGGACGCAGGAGGAUAGGGUAAGCGCGGUAUUGGAUAUCCGCGUCCAAGCAGUUAGGCUGGGAAAUAGGCAAAUCCGUUUCCCGUGAAGGCUGAGCUGUGAUGGCGAGCGAAUUAUAGUAGCGAAGUUCCUGAUUCCACACUGCCAAGAAAAGCCUCUAGCGAGGUGAGAGGUGCCCGUACCGCAAACCGACACAGGUAGGCGAGGAGAGAAUCCUAAGGUGAUCGAGAGAACUCUCGUUAAGGAACUCGGCAAAAUGACCCCGUAACUUCGGGAGAAGGGGUGCUCUGUUAGGGUGCAAGCCGAGAGAGCCGCAGUGAAUAGGCCCAGGCGACUGUUUAGCAAAAACACAGGUCUCUGCGAAGCCGUAAGGCGAAGUAUAGGGGCUGACGCCUGCCCGGUGCUGGAAGGUUAAGAGGAGCGCUUAGCGUAAGCGAAGGUGCGAAUUGAAGCCCCAGUAAACGGCGGCCGUAACUAUAACGGUCCUAAGGUAGCGAAAUUCCUUGUCGGGUAAGUUCCGACCCGCACGAAAGGCGCAACGAUCUGGGCACUGUCUCAACGAGAGACUCGGUGAAAUUAUAGUACCUGUGAAGAUGCAGGUUACCCGCGACAGGACGGAAAGACCCCGUGGAGCUUUACUGCAGCCUGAUAUUGAAUGUUGGUACAGCUUGUACAGGAUAGGUAGGAGCCUUGGAAACCGGAGCGCCAGCUUCGGUGGAGGCAUCGGUGGGAUACUACCCUGGCUGUAUUGACCUUCUAACCCGCCGCCCUUAUCGGGCGGGGAGACAGUGUCAGGUGGGCAGUUUGACUGGGGCGGUCGCCUCCUAAAAGGUAACGGAGGCGCCCAAAGGUUCCCUCAGAAUGGUUGGAAAUCAUUCGCAGAGUGUAAAGGCACAAGGGAGCUUGACUGCGAGACCUACAAGUCGAGCAGGGACGAAAGUCGGGCUUAGUGAUCCGGUGGUUCCGCAUGGAAGGGCCAUCGCUCAACGGAUAAAAGCUACCCCGGGGAUAACAGGCUUAUCUCCCCCAAGAGUCCACAUCGACGGGGAGGUUUGGCACCUCGAUGUCGGCUCAUCGCAUCCUGGGGCUGUAGUCGGUCCCAAGGGUUGGGCUGUUCGCCCAUUAAAGCGGUACGCGAGCUGGGUUCAGAACGUCGUGAGACAGUUCGGUCCCUAUCCGUCGCGGGCGCAGGAAAUUUGAGAGGAGCUGUCCUUAGUACGAGAGGACCGGGAUGGACGCACCGCUGGUGUACCAGUUGUUCUGCCAAGGGCAUCGCUGGGUAGCUAUGUGCGGACGGGAUAAGUGCUGAAAGCAUCUAAGCAUGAAGCCCCCCUCAAGAUGAGAUUUCCCAUUCCGCAAGGAAGUAAGAUCCCUGAAAGAUGAUCAGGUUGAUAGGUCUGAGGUGGAAGUGUGGCGACACAUGGAGCUGACAGAUACUAAUCGAUCGAGGACUUAACCAAUUU